RNAcentral lists this long non-coding RNA (718 nucleotides) under Helianthus annuus (common sunflower). Lineage: Eukaryota; Viridiplantae; Streptophyta; Magnoliopsida; Asterales; Asteraceae. The record is from RNAcentral.
CGUCAUCACCGGAUAACGGUUCACCCUGUUCUCCUUCAAAGGUAUUAGAUGAGAGUUUCCAGCCUAAUGUUGUUUGAAAGUUUAAAGACAUACAGGAUAUGAGAAGCGAGGAUUGUCAUAAAUUGGAUGUAUUUACUUCGACGAUUCCAAGGGAGCCUUGAAAUUGAAGAAACACAAUUGCUUAAAAAGCGAAAUUAAAUAGAUGGAAACCAUGACAGGAAAAAAAGUUGAGCUAGAAGCUAUGCAGAAAUAUUUUGACACCAACGAAGCUGAGAUGCGAAUAAAUCAGUUUUGUAUGCUACUAUAUAAAUCAUUUUUUGUCAGGUUGGUGACUUCGCGAUAGCAGCUGUAACUGCUAUCCAUGUAAGUAUUAAUCAUCUUCGAGCAAAGCCGACAACUCAGCGUAUUAACUCUCGCAUGCAGCCAAAUGAUGAAGUCUACCAUCUCUUCCAUCUUUGUGAAUCUUCUAUACAAUUUAUCCAAUCACUUUACAAACACAUGUUAUUCCGGGAGCGCCUCGCUGAAAAUAAGGAACUAUGUGGAGCAAGUGCUAUUCUUCAGUUGGUUCAAAACACCUUAAAACUGCCAGAACAUGAUGAUCCACUUCUUGCAAGUGUUGUUGAUAGGCUUAAAUCAAAAGUUUUAUCUAUAGUAAGCCCAAUCAUGUGUAGACAUUAUCUACAUAAGUAAGGGAACGUUUUUUUUAUUUCAAGGUUUA